This is a long non-coding RNA of Ictalurus punctatus (channel catfish), 760 nucleotides long. The record is from Ensembl. Lineage: Eukaryota; Metazoa; Chordata; Actinopteri; Siluriformes; Ictaluridae.
AUGUUUGCUGUUACUGUGGCCAAACAACUCCAUCUUUGAUUCAUCUGUCCAGAGCACAUUAUUCCAAAAGGCCUGGUCUUUGCCUAUAUGCUCAUUGGCAAACUGUAUUCUUGCAAAGGAUUUUUCCUGGCACACCUCCCAUGCAGGUCAAAUUUGUGCAGUCUCUUUCUGAUUGUAGAAGCAUGCACUUUGACACCAACAGCUGCAAGAUGCUGUGACGAAAUUUUGGGUUUCUUUGAGACUUCUUUUUGCAUCAGCUGGUCUGCUCUUGGGCUGAAUUUGCUGGGACGGCAAGGAUGUUAGGGCAGAUUUCAACUAGGCUAUAUCAAUAUUUUAGAUCAGACUCCAACCAGGUUGAAAAAGUAUGUUGGAUCAGAUCCCAACUAGGCUAUAUGUGAAUGCUAGAUCAGAUUCCAGCCAGGUUGAAAAAGGAUGUUGGAUCAGAUCCCAACUAGGCUAUAUGUGAAUGCUAGAUCAGAUUCCAACCAGGUUGAAAAAGGAUGUUGGAUCAGAUCCCAACUAGGAUAUUUGUGAAUGCUAGAUCAGAUUCCAACCAGGUUGAAAAAGGAUGUUCGAUCUGAUCCCUGCAAGUUAUACUAGAAUGUUAGGUAAGAUCACAGGCAGCUUGUAUCAGGAUGUUGGCUCAGAUCCCAACCAGGUUAUAUGUGAAUGUUAGAUCAGAUUCCAACCUGGUUAUAUGAGACUGUUAGAUCAGAUCCCAACUGGUUAUGCCAGGAUGUUAGAUCAGAUCCCAACCAGG